UAUGGUGUGCCGGGGGCCGCGCGGGCCGGGAGUUGGGUGGGCUGGGGGACAGGCGCGCCCGCGCCGCCCGCUCCAGCUGGGCUAGUGCUGCACAUUCCGGCCAGCCCCUCCUCAAGACCCCAUUCCCAAGCCCCUUCUCAGCUCCCUCGGGCCGGCAGAGCGGCUCUGAUCAGUAAAAUGCUGUUGAAGGCCCACGGGCAUGACUGCACCCCUCACUAAUUGGUCAUUGGUUUGGGGAGGACACCACUGUCCCAGUGGAACCUUGAGCACACCUUGGAGCCCUCCUCUUCCUCUCCGGACCUGUGCCAAACUGUGAGUGGCACAGAGCAAGGACUGUAUGUGUUCUCUUCUUUGUUGCAUACUCAGUUCCUUGACCACAGUGCCAAGCACACAGCGAGCACUCCCUGUGUAUCUGCUGAGUAAAUAAACGAAUGAACAAACCCAACACAUUUCAGCCAAGUCCUGCUGAUGUUUCUCCUCCGAUCUAGCUCCUCCUUUCCAGCCUUACUUCUGCCACUCCAGAUUUCACCCCCAUCAGCUUCAGACUGGAUAAAAGGAAACCAUUUCUCUAAAGGAUCACUUGCUCUCUCAUUUCAGGCCAUCCUGCAGCCACCAGAACCUUCCACAUGAAAUGAAAGGCUCACCACUUCAUAGGCUUUAAGGAAAUUCUUGGCCAGGUGUGGUGCCUCACUCAUGUAAUCCCAGUGCUUUAAGAGGCCAAGAUGGGAGGAUUGUUUGAGCCAGCUGUUUGAGACCAGCCUGGGCAACGUCAUGAGACCCCAUCUCCACAAAAAAAAAAAAAAAGAAAAUUGGCUGGGUGCGGUGGCUCAUGUCUGUAAUCCCAGCAAUUUUGGAGGCUGAGGCGGGUGGAUCACUUGAGGUCAGGAGUUUGAGACCAGCCUGGCCAACAUGGUGAAACCCCGUCACUACUAAAAAUACAAAAAUUAGCCAGGCGUGGCGGCAGGUGCCUGUAAUCCCAGCUACUUGCGAGGCUGAGGAAGAAUUGCGUGAACCUAGGAGGUGGAGGUUGCAGUGAGCCAAGAUCAUGCUGCUGCACUCCAGCCUGGGCAACAGAGUGAGACUCCAUCUCAAAAAUAAUAAAAAUAAAUUAAA
Long non-coding RNA from Homo sapiens (human), 1113 nucleotides. RefSeq annotates it as TRIM52 antisense RNA 1. NCBI's taxonomy places the organism in Eukaryota, Metazoa, Chordata, Mammalia, Primates, Hominidae. The record is from RefSeq and is marked validated. The transcript is spliced from 2 exons.